This 582-nucleotide ribosomal RNA is filed under the name Bradyrhizobium sp. Its description in RNAcentral is "bacterial SSU rRNA". It matches the Rfam family "Bacterial small subunit ribosomal RNA", at positions 146 to 762 of the family's 1533-position model. The record is from RNAcentral. Lineage: Bacteria; Pseudomonadati; Pseudomonadota; Alphaproteobacteria; Hyphomicrobiales; Nitrobacteraceae.
ACUGAGGGAAACUUCAGCUAAUACCGGAUAAGCCCUUACGGGGAAAGAUUUAUCGCCGAAAGAUCGGCCCGCGUCUGAUUAGCUAGUUGGUGAGGUAAUGGCUCACCAAGGCGACGAUCAGUAGCUGGUCUGAGAGGAUGAUCAGCCACAUUGGGACUGAGACACGGCCCAAACUCCUACGGGAGGCAGCAGUGGGGAAUAUUGGACAAUGGGCGCAAGCCUGAUCCAGCCAUGCCGCGUGAGUGAUGAAGGCCCUAGGGUUGUAAAGCUCUUUUGUGCGGGAAGAUAAUGACGGUACCGCAAGAAUAAGCCCCGGCUAACUUCGUGCCAGCAGCCGCGGUAAUACGAAGGGGGCUAGCGUUGCUCGGAAUCACUGGGCGUAAAGGGUGCGUAGGCGGGUCUUUAAGUCAGGGGUGAAAUCCUGGAGCUCAACUCCAGAACUGCCUUUGAUACUGAAGAUCUUGAGUUCGGGAGAGGUGAGUGGAACUGCGAGUGUAGAGGUGAAAUUCGUAGAUAUUCGCAAGAACACCAGUGGCGAAGGCGGCUCACUGGCCCGAUACUGACGCUGAGGCACCAAAGCGU